AUUGAACGCUGGCGGCAGGCCUAACACAUGCAAGUCGAACGGUAACAGGAAGAAGCUUGCCUCUUUGCUGACGAGUGGCGGACGGGUGAGUAAUGUCUGGGAAACUGCCUGAUGGAGGGGGAUAACUACUGGAAACGGUAGCUAAUACCGCAUAACGUCGCAAGACCAAAGAGGGGGACCUUCGGGCCUCUUGCCAUCGGAUGUGCCCAGAUGGGAUUAGCUAGUAGGUGGGGUAACGGCUCACCUAGGCGACGAUCCCUAGCUGGUCUGAGAGGAUGACCAGCCACACUGGAACUGAGACACGGUCCAGACUCCUACGGGAGGCAGCAGUGGGGAAUAUUGCACAAUGGGCGCAAGCCUGAUGCAGCCAUGCCGCGUGUAUGAAGAAGGCCUUCGGGUUGUAAAGUACUUUCAGCGGGGAGGAAGGGAGUAAAGUUAAUACCUUUGCUCAUUGACGUUACCCGCAGAAGAAGCACCGGCUAACUCCGUG
This 490-nucleotide ribosomal RNA is filed under the name uncultured bacterium. RNAcentral describes it as "partial 16S ribosomal RNA". It matches the Rfam family "Bacterial small subunit ribosomal RNA", at positions 30 to 507 of the family's 1533-position model. The record is from RNAcentral.